Molecule: ribosomal RNA, 464 nt
Filed under: uncultured Serratia sp.
Lineage: Bacteria; Pseudomonadati; Pseudomonadota; Gammaproteobacteria; Enterobacterales; Yersiniaceae
Description: bacterial SSU rRNA
Rfam family: Bacterial small subunit ribosomal RNA
Source: RNAcentral
CCUACGGGGGGCAGCAGUGGGGAAUAUUGCACAAUGGGCGCAAGCCUGAUGCAGCCAUGCCGCGUGUGUGAAGAAGGCCUUCGGGUUGUAAAGCACUUUCAGCGAGGAGGAAGGGUUCGGUGUUAAUAGCACCGUUCAUUGACGUUACUCGCAGAAGAAGCACCGGCUAACUCCGUGCCAGCAGCCGCGGUAAUACGGAGGGUGCAAGCGUUAAUCGGAAUUACUGGGCGUAAAGCGCACGCAGGCGGUUUUUUGAGUCGGAUGAGAAAGCCCCGGGCUUAACGUGGAAACGGCAUUGGAAACUGGCAAGCUAGGGUCUGGUAGAGGGGGUAGAAUUCCAGGUGUAGCGGUGAAAUGCGUAGAGAUCUGGAGGAAUACCGGUGGCGAAGGCGGCCCCCUGGACAAAGACUGACGCUCAGGUGCGAAAGCGUGGGGAGCAAGCAGGAUUAGAUACCCGAGUAGUC